This 253-nucleotide ribosomal RNA is filed under the name uncultured bacterium. RNAcentral's name for it is "partial 16S ribosomal RNA". It matches the Rfam family "Bacterial small subunit ribosomal RNA", at positions 524 to 776 of the family's 1533-position model. The record is from RNAcentral.
UACGGAGGGAGCUAGCGUUGUUCGGAAUUACUGGGCGUAAAGCACGCGUAGGCGGUUACUCAAGUCAGAGGUGAAAGCCCGGGGCUCAACCCCGGAACUGCCUUUGAAACUAGGUGACUAGAAUCUUGGAGAGGUCAGUGGAAUUCCGAGUGUAGAGGUGAAAUUCGUAGAUAUUCGGAAGAACACCAGUGGCGAAGGCGACUGACUGGACAAGUAUUGACGCUGAGGUGCGAAAGCGUGGGGAGCAAACAGG